UUUGUGAGAGAUGCUACGUGGUCCCCGCUCAAUCACUCCCUCCUUACCACAGUGGGCUGGGACCAUCAGGUCACCCACCACAUCGUGCCCACGGAGCCUCUCCCAGCCCUUGGACCUAAGAGUGUUGCUGAGUAGAUAAGACAAAAAACAAAUCCCCCAUGAGUAACCACUCCCUUUGCCCUGCCCUCUCAGUCUGUGAGACCACACAGGAGCCUUAUACACUAUGUUGAUACACUAGAUCUGGGCAGUUAAUAGGCAUUGUCUCUCAGCCCAAGGAAGGCUGGAUUCUGGGAUCCUGUAGUCCUAGGGAAGAAAAACUUUCCUAAAAUU
Molecule: long non-coding RNA, 330 nt
Filed under: Lynx pardinus (Iberian lynx)
Lineage: Eukaryota; Metazoa; Chordata; Mammalia; Carnivora; Felidae
Source: RNAcentral